Lontra canadensis (Northern American river otter) is the source of this 168-nucleotide long non-coding RNA. RefSeq lists it as uncharacterized. NCBI's taxonomy places the organism in Eukaryota, Metazoa, Chordata, Mammalia, Carnivora, Mustelidae. The transcript has 3 exons. The record is from RefSeq and is a predicted model, not a curated record.
GAAGAGAAGCUUGUUUUAAACCGAGAGCACGUUACAGAAAGCAAAAGCUCUUUCAAGAACUCAUCCCCUAAAUUCUUGGUUUGGAAGAUGUGGAAACUCGACUUUGAUGUAGAUGACAGAUUCGAGCAGUUACGAUGGCUCAGUACUUUCAGGAAAAUGCUGGAGCAG